Molecule: long non-coding RNA, 767 nt
Organism: Anneissia japonica
Lineage: Eukaryota; Metazoa; Echinodermata; Crinoidea; Comatulida; Comatulidae
Exons: 2
Source: RefSeq, a predicted model, not a curated record
UACAAAAUUGCUUGACAACCAAUACGCGUUCGUUUUGACGCGCUACUGUGAUUUCACGAACUAACACAAUCUACUUCGAUUGUGUUAGUUCGUGAUGUGAGCGACGCUAUAUAGAACAAACAAUUCUCAGGAAGAAACAAAAUAUACACUACCAAGGUUUCAUCUCAACAGAUUUAUGAUUCUGAGUUUGACUCAGCAUAGAGUGGUGUCACAGUUGAAAAUGUAUUCCCUUUAUAUUACCGUAUUGUUAAGCAUGAAGUAAAGUUACAGACACAUGCAUCGAAGCGUAUAGAUUAAGGUGAAGGUAUAAGCAAUUGUAUGUCUACGUAACGACGUAUAUGCAGCUUACACGGAUUGCCACGUAUGCACUAAACUAUAUAUAUGUAUAUUAUGAGAAAAGGGCGGGUCGUAUAUAAGGUCUAUCGAAAUUAGCGUUAGGGUAUUCUGGUUAAGGAAUGAAAGAACCAUAGCCUAUAGCCGGGUGGUCUUACAGAAAUUGACAGGCUGAUGAUUGCCACUAGUGGCGGAAGGGGCAAGAGCUUAUGGAAUCAAUGAGAAGAGAUAGGGGAAUGGUAUCCGGUCUAAACAGGACCAGGAAACGAUAAAAGCCCCACCCCGGCAGGCUAGAUAGGCCAUACAGUUUGAUAGGUACCAACCCAGCCGUACACGGCUGUGGAUUGAGAACAGCUGAGUUAUUUUGUACCGUAAUGAUAAUCACGUUCACAGACUGUAAGAGAUUUCCUAAUUAAAAUAUUGUUGAAAUGGCA